Molecule: transfer RNA, 72 nt
Filed under: bacterium
Lineage: Bacteria
Description: tRNA-Arg
Rfam family: tRNA
About the family: Transfer RNA (tRNA) molecules are approximately 80 nucleotides in length. Their secondary structure includes four short double-helical elements and three loops (D, anti-codon, and T loops).
Source: RNAcentral
GUCUCCAUAGCUCAAUGGAUAGAGCGCAGGCCUCCGGAGCCUGAAAUGCAGGUUCGACUCCUGCUGGGGACA